Non-coding RNA from Pelobates cultripes (western spadefoot toad), 268 nucleotides. NCBI's taxonomy places the organism in Eukaryota, Metazoa, Chordata, Amphibia, Anura, Pelobatidae. The record is from the annotation of a GenBank genome assembly.
GGUGGCACAACUACGUUUUCAGGCUAUAGAACAUAUCAAGACUCCUCAUUUUGGUUGUUCCCUUGCAGAUUCGCUCAAACGCGCGGAACUACGGUGCAUUUAUCGAUUGGAUACAUUUUUCCCACAUGGGUUGAAUGAAGACUGUGAUUUUAAUCCCUUCAGGUAAUAUGGUCAUAUACAAUUGGUUAAGUUGCUUACAUUUCCGGACUAUGUGCAUCAUUUUUCUUUUUUGUCUUAUUGGGUCCGCUUUUUGUGGUUCCUUUUUUUU